CCUACGGGUGGCAGCAGUGGGGAAUAUUGGGCAAUGGGCGCAAGCCUGACCCAGCAACGCCGCGUGAAGGAAGAAUGCUUUCUGGUUGUAAACUUCUUUUCUCAUGGACGAAGCAAGUGACGGUACCUGCGUAAUAAGCCACAGCUAACUACAUGCCAGCAGCCGCGGUAAUACGGAGGUGGCAAGCGUUAUCCGGAUUUACUGGGUGUAAAGGGCGUGUAGGCGGGACUGCAAGUCAGAUGUGAAAACCAUCGGCUCAACCUAUGGCCUGCAUUUGAAACUGUAGUUCUGGAGUACUGGAGAGGCAGACGGAAUUCCUAGUGUAGCGGUGAAAUGCGUAGAUAUUAGGAGGAACACCAGUGGCGAAGGCGGUCUGCUGGACAGCAACUGACGCUGAGGCGCGAAAGCGUGGGGAGCAAACAGGAUUAGAUACCCUUGUAGUC
RNAcentral lists this ribosomal RNA (443 nucleotides) under uncultured bacterium. RNAcentral's name for it is "partial 16S ribosomal RNA". It matches the Rfam family "Bacterial small subunit ribosomal RNA", at positions 338 to 795 of the family's 1533-position model. The record is from RNAcentral.